UACGAAGGGGGCUAGCGUUGUCCGGAUUCAUUGGGCGUAAAGGGUGCGUAGGUGGCGUGGUAAGUCUGGUGUGAAAUCCCGGGGCUCAACCCCGGAACUGCACUGGAUACUGCCAUGCUUGAGUACUGGAGAGGAGAUUGGAAUUUACGGUGUAGCAGUGAAAUGCGUAGAUAUCGUAAGGAAGACCAGUGGCGAAGGCGAAUCUCUGGACAGUUACUGACACUGAGGCACGAAGGCCAGGGGAGCAAACGGG
This 253-nucleotide ribosomal RNA is filed under the name uncultured bacterium. Its description in RNAcentral is "partial 16S ribosomal RNA". It matches the Rfam family "Bacterial small subunit ribosomal RNA", at positions 524 to 776 of the family's 1533-position model. The record is from RNAcentral.